AAAGCAGGACGCAAUUACAGUGCUCAAUCUUGUGGGAGUACUGUCAUUAUCCUGCUGAGAGCAUCCUUCUGCUCUGGAGUCAUGAAUACUG
This is a small nucleolar RNA of Carassius auratus (goldfish), 91 nucleotides long. Ensembl annotates it as small nucleolar RNA SNORA69. NCBI's taxonomy places the organism in Eukaryota, Metazoa, Chordata, Actinopteri, Cypriniformes, Cyprinidae. The record is from Ensembl.